AAGUCGUAACAAGGUUUCCGUAGGUGAACCUGCGGAAGGAUCAUUAAAGAGUUUUGAGGUUGGUCGCAUCCCGCACUCAGUGUAAAAGCUGUGUAACGGGCGCUGCGUACCAUGACCUUUGCGUAUGUUGUGUUUGUCUGUGUUAUUAUGUUAUAUUAAAUUAAAGACAACUUUUAACAAUGGAUCUCUUGGUUCUC
Molecule: unclassified non-coding RNA, 197 nt
Filed under: fungal sp.
Lineage: Eukaryota; Fungi
Description: partial internal transcribed spacer region
Rfam family: Eukaryotic small subunit ribosomal RNA (bases 1-46)
Source: RNAcentral